GGGGUCAUAGCUCAGUUGGUAGAGCGCCACGUUUGCAACGUGGAUGUCGUCGGUUCGAGUCCGAUUGGCUCCACCA
This 76-nucleotide transfer RNA is filed under the name Rickettsiales bacterium. RNAcentral's name for it is "tRNA-Ala". It matches the Rfam family "tRNA". From Rfam's summary of the family: Transfer RNA (tRNA) molecules are approximately 80 nucleotides in length. Their secondary structure includes four short double-helical elements and three loops (D, anti-codon, and T loops). Lineage: Bacteria; Pseudomonadati; Pseudomonadota; Alphaproteobacteria; Rickettsiales. The record is from RNAcentral.